Molecule: signal recognition particle RNA, 263 nt
Filed under: Chloroflexota bacterium
Lineage: Bacteria; Bacillati; Chloroflexota
Description: signal recognition particle sRNA large type
Rfam family: Bacterial large signal recognition particle RNA
About the family: The signal recognition particle (SRP) is a universally conserved ribonucleoprotein involved in the co-translational targeting of proteins to membranes. Archaeal SRP consists of a 7S RNA and homologues of the eukaryotic SRP19 and SRP54 proteins.
Source: RNAcentral
CCGUGCUAGAUGGGGAGCUGGCGGUGCCUUGUACCCGCAAUCCGCCACAGCGGGGUCGAAUUCCUCCCCAAGGUCUGGUCCAGCGGCCUCUGCCCGUUCGGAGCGGCGUCGAGGGCCGGGACCCGCGCGACGGACGCCCGUGAACCCCGCCAGGCCCGGAAGGGAGCAACGGUAAGCGGAAACGCCGGGCGCCGCGGGGCCACCUGGCCUGAGUUGCGAAGGCGGGUACGCCGAGGGGUCCACGAUCGACGGGAGGUGCACGG